AUUGAACGCUGGCGGCAUGCCUUACACAUGCAAGUCGAACGGUAACAGGUCUUCGGAUGCUGACGAGUGGCGAACGGGUGAGUAAUACAUCGGAACGUGCCCGAUCGUGGGGGAUAACGAAGCGAAAGCUUUGCUAAUACCGCAUAAGAUCUAAGGAUGAAAGCGGGGGAUCGCAAGACCUCGCGCGAUUGGAGCGGCCGAUAUCAGAUUAGCUAGUUGGUGGGGUAAAGGCCCACCAAGGCGACGAUCUGUAGCUGGUCUGAGAGGACGACCAGCCACACUGGAACUGAGACACGGUCCAGACUCCUACGGGAGGCAGCAGUGGGGAAUUUUGGACAAUGGGCGCAAGCCUGAUCCAGCAAUGCCGCGUGCAGGAUGAAGGCCUUCGGGUUGUAAACUGCUUUUGUACGGAACGAAACGGCCCUUUCUAAUACAGGGGGCUAAUGACGGUACCGUAAGAAUAAGCACCGGCUAACUACGUGCCAGCAGCCGCCGUAA
Molecule: ribosomal RNA, 498 nt
Filed under: uncultured bacterium
Lineage: Bacteria
Description: partial 16S ribosomal RNA
Rfam family: Bacterial small subunit ribosomal RNA
Source: RNAcentral